RNAcentral lists this ribosomal RNA (497 nucleotides) under uncultured bacterium. RNAcentral describes it as "partial 16S ribosomal RNA". It matches the Rfam family "Bacterial small subunit ribosomal RNA", at positions 28 to 507 of the family's 1533-position model. The record is from RNAcentral.
GAUGAACGCUGGCGGCGUGCCUAAUACAUGCAAGUCGAGCGAACAGAUGAGGAGCUUGCUCCUCUGACGUUAGCGGCGGACGGGUGAGUAACACGUGGAUAACCUACCUAUAAGACUGGGAUAACUUCGGGAAACCGGAGCUAAUACCGGAUAAUAUAUUGAACCGCAUGGUUCAAUAGUGAAAGACGGUUUUGCUGUCACUUAUAGAUGGAUCCGCGCCGCAUUAGCUAGUUGGUAAGGUAACGGCUUACCAAGGCGACGAUGCGUAGCCGACCUGAGAGGGUGAACGGCCACACGGGAACUGAGACACGGCCCAGACUCCUAGGGGAGGAAGCAGUAGGGAAUCUUCCGCAAUGGGCGAAAGCCUGACGGAGCAACGCCGCGUGAGUGGUGAAGGUCUUCGGAUCGUAAAACUCUGUUAUUAGGGAAGAACAAAUGUGUAAGUAACUAUGCACGUCUUGACGGUACCUAAUCAGAAAGCCACGGCUAACUACGUG